Molecule: long non-coding RNA, 166 nt
Filed under: Cyanistes caeruleus (blue tit)
Lineage: Eukaryota; Metazoa; Chordata; Aves; Passeriformes; Paridae
Description: lncRNA (ENSCCEG00000015810.1)
Source: RNAcentral
GCUUGAUGAUAACCUCAGAGCCAACUGUAAAGAUUAUCUCUUAGUUCUUGUGAGGGGCUGUUUUCCAGACCUUGUCACAGGGUUUCUGAUGAGCACAAAACAGGUGUUUGUGUGGGAGCAAAAGGUAUCACAAGGAUCCAAAGGGGGUGAAGAAGGUCAGGGCUGA